This 12837-nucleotide long non-coding RNA is filed under the name Phaseolus vulgaris (common bean). Its description in RNAcentral is "long non-coding RNA (PVUL_LNC000485)". The record is from RNAcentral. Lineage: Eukaryota; Viridiplantae; Streptophyta; Magnoliopsida; Fabales; Fabaceae.
ACACCAGUGGUGAAGGAAAAUGCUCCAGAUGGCAAUGGAAGAAAGGGUUUGUUUAUCUGCCAAAAAACAUAACAGAGAUUAAUAAAACACAAACAAUACAAUACAAAAGCUUUUAAGCUAUAAAAAGUGGCAGGUUUUCUUGACCACAUCAAAUAUUAAUUAAGAACCAGUUUGACAUUUUUCUACAAAACAAACUUGAGGUAAACUGCACAAGAAAUUUGUCUUUAACAUAUUUUUUAAUGGUAUAAUAAUACAAACCCUAAAAGACAUAAAAAGUAAUAACUUAUUCUGCACUCAAAUUAUUUAUUUCUAAUAGUAACUUUCAUUUACCUUGUCAAUAUCAAGAUCAUACAAUUGAUUCACGCCAUUAACAUAGAAGUCCAUUAACGUGAAAGGUAGCAGAGCCUGAAACAUUCAAAAGUCAAAAAAAAUAUUAACAAAAUUAAAGGAUUGGUUAUAGUUAAAUAACUAAAAAAAAUAUCAUUAAAUAUAAAUCAAUUUUAAAUAUAAAAAAUAAUUAGUUUUUAUAUUGUUUAAAUUAAAAACGAUUUUAGAUCUAAAUAAUUAUUGGUUUCUAAAUUAGUUUCUAUUAUUAAUAAAUAGUUUUUAAAUUAAUUUUUAUUUAAUUACUAAGGUUUUAACCACCAAUUAUUUAAAUUCUAAAUUUGGUAGCUAAUUAUAUACCAAUUUGAAAUUAUUUAUUAAUUAAAAAUAAUUUAUUAAUAAUAAAAAUUAGUUUAAAAAUCAAUAAUUUAUUUAAUAUAUAAAAGGAUAUCUAAUUUAGUUAAUAUAGUAACUAAUUUUUUUUUCUUUAAAAUUAAUUUUAUUUAAUAAUUUCUUUUAGUGAAUAUUUAAUAAAAACAAUAUAUUUAGAAUCUCACCUGUAAUACACCAAUGUAAAAUAAAGGAGAUGAUAUAUCUGAUAGUUUAUCCACUGCUAAGAAUGAUGCAGCAAUUGUGCUUAAUGUCUGUCAAACACAAAUAAAAUUGAAACAUUUAAAACAUUAGUGAUAUAACCAAAGUUUUUUUUUAAUAUAAAGUAGUGUUUCAUACAAAUAAAUUGAAUUAAGUAUUAAGCAUAACAUUAAUUUAGGAUUAUGUCUAUUAAAACAAUUGAACUUACCCGACCAAACAUUGUGUAAGGAUAGACAAACCAAUAUAACGCAACAAGAAAACGUUUUACAGAACCAACAAUGUCUUUUGAUUCAGCAGCAUCAGAUUCUUCAGACCCAAAAGAUUCUUUUGAGAUUGCUUUUGGAAUAUAUUUCUUGUUGUGUUCUUCAUAGUUGGAUCCUCCUUCAACACUUUUGAACUGAUUCUUAAUACUCAGUUGUUGGAACUUCAAAGGGUUAUAUUCUAUUUGACUUUUUCUUUGCUGCAUUGAAGUUUUUGGUGCAAAAGAAGCUACAACACAAAUGCAGUAUCAGUGACCAUGCACAACAACAGUGAAAAUGUUUGACUAGAAAACCAUUAUUUCAUAAAUAAAAGAAAUUGUUUUCAACAAUUGUCUUUAUAUACCCUUAAGUCCUUUGAAAAAUCAAAGUCACAUAUAAUUAUUUUUAUAUUUUUAAAAAAAAAAAUUCAUUCGCAUAUUCACGUUAAUUAAGAUUAAAUUAAUUCGUUGAUCAAAAUUUUCAUAGUGUGAAAGAAAAUAAAAAUUAACGCAAAUAUUUCUAUAUAUUUUUUUGUGUAAAUCAUAUGAAACACAAACACACUAUUUAAAAGUGUUUAGGACACGAAUAUAUCAUUAAAAGACUAUUAAAUAUUUUAAAAAUGAAAAAAAAAAUCAAAUAAUGUAAUUUUGAAAACCUUUAUUUUAUUACAACAGUAAAAAAAUAAGUACAUCCUUCCUUGCAAUAUUUAUAUCAAAGUUUGCAAAAUAAAGAGAGAAAAAGUAAUUUAAUCUUUACCUUUGCUUCAAUUUAUCAGAUUUCAAAGGUUAUGUAAUUAUAUGGCAUCCCAUGAAUCAAUUAUAUGGUAUCCCAUGUCUAAAGCUUAAAAUUACACAAUUAUUAUUAUUAUAUUUUAUUAUGAAGUGUAAUUUAAACCUAAUGUCCUUCACAUUCAGAGUGACAACUCAUGCAUGGGACAACAUGUGAUACGAUAUGUUUUAAAUUGUUCUGAUACCAUAUUACGAAGAAGACUUUAAACCUAACUCAAUCCCAUAAAACUGACUCAUGGAGUGAGGUUUCCAUCCAUUUAUAUACAAUGAAAUAUUUUUAUCUCUAGUUGACGUGAGAUCUCAAACAUAUUUUCUCACACCAUUACUAUGAAAGGUAAAAGUAUUUGAGUAUUUCUUUCGGAUGAAGAAAAAAAAAUGUGAAAGUAAAAUAGUUAUUAGUUAUAACAAAAAAAGAAGGUUAAUUAAAGAAAACAGAGGAAAUAUAUGUGAAACAUACUUCCAUAGGAAAAAUUCUUGGUAGAAUGUUUGCUCUGCCAGAUAUUUCCUCCUGCAAUUACGAACAGUUCAUCAUAUUAAUAACCAUAAAACUGGAAAAAAUGAUAAAAAAAAAUGGUUGAAACAUAAUAAGCAAGUAAGUGUUGUUGCAAAAGUAGAGAUAAUAGGUACCGUUUGUGAGUGAAGUGACAUUAGGAGAAAACCUUAGAGACAUCGAAGCCAUGGAAACUGAACCUUAAAACAAAAGCACUUUCUGAUGAAGAGAUAAACAAACACAGCCUAGUACUGGAGAAGACAAGGGGAAGAGAGAGAUUUAUAUACUACACUCAGUUUCACAUAACUUAUUAAUAAAUUCCAUUUCUUGACCAUUCUUUCAAAGAUAAACAAACACAUUAAUAAUAUAAUAUAACGAACGAGUAAAUAGCCGCCGUAGAAAAAAUUGGUCUACAAUUUCAUUAGUUCAAAGCUGCUCAAAAUUAAUUUUAAUUAUUAUCCUUAAAAUAUUUGUUAAUAUAUUUAAUAUUUAAUUAAAAAGAUCAGCGUUGUCAUUUUUGAACCAUGUUUUAAAAAUUCCAUUUAAUUUGGGCAGCGAUUGAAUUAUAAUUUCAAACGGCACUGUGGAAACUACGUCUUCGUCAUCGUUGUCCUCAGAUAUUCAAUACACGUCAGCACUUGGAUUCAAGAUUGUUACACUUGUUGAAAAAGUCUACAUGAAUCUUAUUCAUUCUUUUUAAGAUUUUAGGUUAAUGAUAUAAAUCAUAUUACAAUUUUCAAUAUUAUUAUUUUAAUAUUUUUAUAUUAUUUAAUUUUUAUUAUAUAUAUAUAUAUUUAUAUCUAAAUUAAUCACAUUAAAAAUUAUAUAAAAAAAUAUCAUUUCUUUUUAAUAUAAAACUUUGACAAAGUUUCAUUGCCAUUUUUAGUAACCUGCAGAAACACAUUCGCACACGUUAUUUCCAUUUUUAAAUCUUACUAAUAUGUGUAUCAGUAUUUUUUAAAUAUUAUUUUAAAUUUAUUAUAAUAUUUUAAUACUUGUAUAAUAAUACAAUGCAUAUAAAGAAGAUAGAAGAAAUAGAACACAAUCAUAUAAUUUUAAAUUUAAAUUUAAUAAAGAGAAUAAUGUUUUGUAGAGAUUAAUCAAAAUAUAGAAAAAUAUAGAAAAAGAAAGAAAAUUGAAAAUGACAGUGUAUGUAUGAAAAUAAAAGAAAAGGAAAGAAUGAGAGUAGGAAUGGAGAAAAGAAGAUGAAGUUUGGAAUACGUUAUUUAAAUAAUGUUGUAACUGAUAACUUUGAAGGAAAAAAAAUUAUUAAAUUGAGAAUAGAUAUUUUUUUAUGAAUAAAAUUGAAAAAAAGUUAUUAAAUUGAUAUAUUAAAUUAAUUAUUAUUUUUUGGAAAUAAAAAUCAAAAAAUUGUGUAAAUAAAUUAUAAGGACAAUCUUCGUUAUAUAUUGUUAUAAAUAAUUCAAUUAAAAUUGGAUAAUUAUAUUAAUAAAAAAAUCAUUAAAUAUAUUUACGUAUAUCUCUGAGUUUACUAAGUAUAAUAUUGUUUUAAAUUUUAACGUUUAAUUAUAUGAUCUAUUUAUCUUUUAGAAUUAAUUUUUUAAAUGUAGAAGGUUAGAUUAUUAUAUUUGCUCAAAAAAUCCCACGACUUUAUUUAUUUAUUUAUUUUGUUGACUUCUUCCUUAUUGGUGGCUAUUUCGGCACUCGUUUGGCUAGAUGAGUGUUUUUGCUCCAAAGUUUCACAACCUUACUUUUACUUGUAUUUCAAAAAGUGUGCUGUAGAAAAUAUUUAAGUCCUCUGUUCAGUCUUUCCUCUUUUAAAAUUAUUUUUUUAUUUUAAUAAUAUAAAACUGAUAACAUGAAAUUUGACUUUUUUUUAAAAGAAUAGUCUAACUAUUUAUGUGAGGUUAACUUCAGAAAAUAUUCAAAAUAGUUAAUAUUUAAUGUUCAAAGUAAGUAAAAUGAAAAUUGUAUUUAUAUUUUUGAAACGAUUUAAGUAGUUGUUGAUAAACCUUAUCACUAAUCAAAGAUUCUUGAAUAACAAUUGGACUGAUUUUAUUACCCUCAUAAAUAUUGAAAUCUUAGCUUAAACCUUAAACAAUUAAAAGGAUUGUGAAUUUGGAAUCAUUAAUGAGUGGACAAAGUUUUUGUACGAAACACAAGUCUAUAUGAAGUAGAUUAGUCUAAUGUGUGAAAAUUAAAAAAAAAAGUACAUUCAUUAAUGCAAGAACGUGAACAAGUGGUGCAAGUUAACUCACACAUAAGUUAACUCACACAUGUUCAAGGCAAUUUUGACAAAAAGGCAAUUUUGACAAAACGAACAUAGUUUUUGAGUUUGAAUGCUCAUUUAGUGUUGAAAAAAAUGAAAGAUAUAGUUAACUCUAGAAAAUGGGGUUUGAAUAGAAAUGUUAUGGAAAAAUUUCACAUGUUGAUGAGGUUGUUUAUUGGUGUUCUCGAACGGGUUGGAAUCAAGAGAGUGAUUCAAGUUGCUCUUCUACCCCCUCGGUCAGUCGGUCAACACUUAUAUUCCUCUCCAAGCAAGCUCCUCACUCUCCUCUUCUCACUCUGCCUCUCGGUCUUCACAAAGUUUAGACUCGGAUGAUACCUGUAAAAGGCACUUCGAUGCUCAAGUCAGAAUUGAGUAUUCGACAGUCGGUACUCUGAGCAUUGUAUAAUGACGUACAUGAUUCUUGGAUUUUGUGCUUAUUUAUAUGGUUAUUAUGGGUUUUUUCUUAUUGGAUCAGAUUAUGGAGUUGGGUCAUGUUUAGAAGUGUAUACCUAGCUCUUAAUUGUUAAUUAACCUCACUAAUUCUACUUAGGCGUAAUUGACUUUGCGGUGUCGGUCGGUGCAAUGACUGGGUGCAAAGUCAUAAUCUCGAUCGUACGGACCCAACCUGUACAAUAGGUUUUGAAAUAAGUUCAAAAACUUUUCUUACAAGCCUUUGAAAGGAUAACUAAGAGAAACGUUAUAAGUAAUGAAAAAAGCAAUGAACACUUUACAUUGGUUCAUCUCAAAUUGUGGUACAUAAUAUUCUCAUUUGCAACCUAUAAAAGAUUUCACUAAUCAUAACAAAUUACACUUUACAUUGGUUCACCUCUUUAGGCUAUCUACUAAUCUCCCCCUUAGAUUUAGCACUAUGUACACAACGUAUUUCUAAUCAAACACAUAAAGUAUGUUUGGAGUAUACAACAAUAAAGUUGUUUUUACAAGAUAAACACUCGCUAGAGAGGAUAAACAAAUAAUGAUCCUUUAUUCUAGAGUCUUAAAAUUAAUUGAAUGAAUGAUUUAUAAAAUGAUAACUCGUUAUGCAUGAUUCAUCAAACACACUACUUUGAUUAAGCACUUAGAAACCUCAAACCUUAUUCACAUGCAAUAUUUACAUAAGACUACUUUGAUUAAGCAUUUCAGAACCUCAAACCUUAUUCACAUGCAAUAUUUACAUUAGACGUAAAGGUCUUCUUUUAUAGACAUCUCAGAUUAGACCACUGAAGUUUGUGUAAUGUAGCUUGUCCUGGUGUUAGCGCCUUUUUAUAACAUGUUCGACUUUAGGUUGACAUAUUUUGUUGUUACAUUCAAUUGACUUAUUUUGUUGUUACAUUCAAAGUGCUAUAUAAAGGACAAUAUUUUCCAUCUUACUUUUUUGUUGUUUUGGCAACACUAUUUUAAUUAUAGUCAUAUAGUAUGUGUGUUAUGUUAAAUUCAUCCCUGGGAUGUGUUGUUGAGUAGCUUUACAUAAUUUUUACAAGUCUUGCACUUUGUAAAGUUUCUUCUAUUAAACACAUGUAUAUUGUCUCUAAGGUUUAUUGAAUCUUGUGACUUUUGAAUAUGUAUCUUGAUUAUGUCUUAGGCCUUCUCUCUUCUCUCACACCGAAUGUAGUAAUUUCUUUCUCUUGUUGAAUUUAAAAACUUUUGAAUUCUAUUAAAACACAUAAAAACAUAGUUUUACCUAAAAUUGAAACUAUCAAUUUUAACCGAUUCAAACUUCAUUUUAAUAUUUUGAUAUCACUUAAACUAAAAAAAUAAACUAAUUCAAGUUUUUAAUAUAUCAAGACUACAACCUUCUAAAACUUAAGAAAUUUAGUCUAUUGAAAACUAGUUUUAGCUUACUGAAAAAUCUUUACAUAACCUCUGAAAAUCUUAACUGGUUUUAACUAAUUGAUUUGAUAUGUCAACUAGUUAAAAUAUUUACUUUAGUCUUUAAAGACUCUCGUUAAUAAUAUUUUAAUAGAUUAAAUUAUCAAUUCAACCAAUUAAAGUUCUCUUAAUAUUAUCACCAAGUUCCAAACAAUUUAUAAAAUAUUUUGAAACCAUUCUUGGAUCAAUUAAGCUUGGUAAGGGAUAAGUAUAGACUCAUACAUAGAAAUCAAACGCACACACUAAAAACAUAAAGUCUUCAUUCUUCACUUGGUGACGUAGAUCACUCAGUUUUUUUAUUGUCACUUUGAGUGUAUCCAUCUAAUAGUCUAUGUUGACAACAUUGUUCUUAUAGGAAAUGAUCAUCAUGGAAUCUCACAAGUAAAACAACACCUUUCUCACCAUUUUUAAACCAAAGAUAUUAACAAACUCAAAUAUUUCUUAGUGAUUGAAGUAGCACAAUCCAAUAUUGAUAUUGUUAUCUCUCAACGAAAAUAUACAUUGGAUCAUUGAAAUUUACUGUUGCUCGUCUUGAUAUUACCUUUGUAGUUAGUGUGGUGAGUUAAUUUCUUAAUUCCUUCAUGUGAAGAUCAUUGGAAUGUAGUCUUUUGUAUACUGAAGUACAUUAAAGGCCUCCUAGAAAAAGUUUGUUAUAUGGUCAGAAUAAGCAUACUAAAGUCGUCUAUUAUUCAGAUCGUUUGAUAAAAGAUUUGUUUUUGGAUAUUAUGUCUCAAUUGGUAAUAACUUGAUCUCUUAGAAAAGAAAGAAACACAAUAUUACGACGAUAUCUAAUGAAGAAGCAUAAUACAGAGUUGUAGUUGUUAGAAUUUUAGGCCUUAAACAAGAGGGGGGUGAAUUAUUUAUAAAAGACUUUCGCAAAUAUUGAAGGUAUAGAGAAAGCCAAUGAAGAAUCAAAGAAAGAGAAACCAAGUUAGACAAGAAACAAAUCUAUUUUAUUAUGUUUCCAGAAAAUCAACCAGUUGCUUAUGCGAUUCAAACGGUUGUUUUCAUCAGCAGUUAAUAAAAACAAACCAAAACAGACUUAAAUGAGAUUAAGGAUUAAAAGAAUCACACAACAAAUUUAUACUGGUCCACUCUUAUCCAAGAGCUACAUCCAGUCCCCAGAACCACUAGGUAUUCCACUAAGUAAUCAAUAACCUUGAUUACAAACCACAUACAAAAUAGGUGAUCUUGAACCCUUCAAGAACACACACCUCCUUUGGCAAACAACACACCACAGAUCACAGAUCACCCUCUAGAUCUGCACAGAACACGUUUACCCAGAAUUACAAUAUUCAAGAGAGAAAAGGAAUGAUCACACAUGAUACAAUCACAGAUUGAAUUCAAAAGUUACAAAACAAUCAUAUUUCACUCUUAGAAAAUCCAAAGCUUGAAGCAAAUCUUGGAGAAAACUGAUUUGAAAGAUUUAAUCUGAUAUCAUUACUACCAGGAGCGUAAAACAGAUUAUUUAAACUCUAAAAGGUUGUUAAAAAUAUUUAAUGAAAGAGCCAAAUCAGUUUUGAAUCUAUUUACCAAACUUAACAAAUUUUGUUGAGGAUUUUCAAAAAACAAUCGGUUGAAAUGUUGAAAUAAUCGAUUGAAUUGGUUUGACAGCAAGGUAAACCAAUUUCAAGCUUUGUCAAAACCUGUUUCAAAAACACUUAGUGUAAAACAACUAGUUGAAACGAUAAAAAAACAGGUUGUUUUUUCACUUCUUUAGAAAACACUUUUUUUCAAAAGAAUUUGAUUUAAACCAACUUUGGAUCCUAACUAAAGUGGAUUUACAAAUUCAAACUACCCAGAAUCCACACACACAAGCAGUUCAAGCAAUCCACACAGAUUUGGAGACAUCAAAGCUCAUGUUCAACAAUCUCCCCCUAUUUGAUGAAGACAAAUCUCUGGUUUGCUUGUGUUGUUGUGUUUGAAUUUGAAAGCACCUGCAAAAUCGAAAAUGUGCAUGUACCAAAGAGCAAUCAUAUCCAGGUUUCACUUGCACCAAUGAACCAAUUUUCACUGUGAUUUUCAUAAAGAAAACCAGCAAAAUCAGUAUGAGUGAGGUGCAUAAUUAGAGUUUUUACAACAACAUACUAAACCAGUUUAAACUUGGAGAAUUGCAAUUUGAAGAGGUAAAUCAUAUGACACAUUUAUGUGAUAAUCAAGUUGCUCUUUGUAUUAGCUCAAAUCCCAAUUUUUAUGAAAGGAUCAAACAUAUUGAGAUUAAUUGUUAUUUUAUUUGAUAAAAUAUUGUGUAGAGAGAUACCAAGACGGAGUUUGUUAAUUCAAAUUAUCUAUUAGCAUAUCUUCUUACUAAAUAUUUAACAUGGUGUGUUGGAUUGAUUAUAUUUAUAACAAGCUGAGUAUGUACAAUUUAUAUGCACCAGAGGGGGAGUGUUAGAUAUUUCUAGAUGUUAGAUAUUUUUGUCUAUGUCAUUAGCUUAGUCCAUAUUUUUAUAUAUUUUUUCUCUAUAUAAACAUAACCUUAUGUGCUCAAUAAAGACAAAAGAUUUAUCCUAUUUUUUCUUUUCUUCUAUUUUAAUAAGUUUAUAAGUAUUUGCAGGUUAUUAAAACAAAUUAAAAUAGAAUAAAAAAUAUUUUCAUUCAAAAUAGUUCGUGAUGCUAAAAGUAGAAUACUUAAGAUUUUCAAUCAAUGCAUUUAUUUUAAGUUUUAGAAAUAUAUACAAAUAUAUCCAAAAAUAUUUUCAAGAUAUAAUUUCAACAAAUCUAUUUAGAAAAUGAUAGAUUUAAAGAUAUACUAAAAUCAUGGUCAAACAAAGCCGGUUAAAAAAAUCUUCCACAAAACACGCAGUUUGAAAUCUUUUUAUUCUUUAUAUAUAACUUUGAUUGAAGAAAUUUUUAACCCAUAAUAUAUAUAUAUAUAUAUAUAUAUAUAUAUAUUACUAAGUAUUUUAGUUUAUUUUUUUUAAAUCUAUUACUCGUUUAGUUCAUUCAUAAGACCAUCUAUCACAAAUGAUAUAUCAAACCAUCUAUUAUAAAUAUAUAUUCAUAAGAAUUUAUUGGAUUUAGGGUUUAAUAUAUUUAUAUUAUUUUUUGUUAUCAUCAAAAUAUAAUAAAAUUCACAUAUGAUUAAAAUAUAAAUAACACAUGAUCUUCUGGUCAUCCAACCAAUUUUUUUUUUUUUAUGGCAAUAGGUCAUCCAACCAUCUAAUGUGGUAUAAAUUGUCUAUGGUCUCAAGAGACUAUCUAGAAUUUGAAAAGAAUACACCCAUAGAGAUAUUAACUAAAUUAGAAGAAAAUGCAUCCUUUUUUAGACCAUUUCAAUUCUUGCAAGCACAAUUUUUUAUUGUAUUUAAUUCUCAAUUUUAAAAAUAUGUCAAAAUACUGUCACAUUCCAUUUUAUAUGAUGUCCCGAAACUGAUAUCUUUUUCAAUAAUGCAAAAAAGCUAUAAGUUCCAUGCAUAUGUUUCCCUCAGUUUCACUCUAUUAUAUUAAAAUAACAAAAAUUAUAGAUAACAGAACUAAAAAUUUAACAAAAUUGUCUAAAAACAAAUCUAGGAAGCAAAAUUGUGUUAAAAGAAAUUUAGACAACAAUAUUACAUAUAAAUACAAGUUUAAAGAUUAAAAUUACAGAAAAGAAAAUUAAGAACCAUAUUAUUAUUUUAUAAAAUACGAAGACCACAAUCACAACUACACCUAAUUUUACUUAAAAAAAAUUUAAUGCAUAUUUGACUAAAGUAGUUUUUAGAGCACUCUUUUGCCAUUAUCAUGCCACUAUUCUCAAUUCUGCUCUGACCCACCAACCCAUGCUGCUCACAUGGAUCUUCAUUGUUUAGAAAUCUUCCAACUUGACCUAAAAGCAUGUAGCAUGUGGAUUCCAGAGAGAUUUUAAUUUGGAAAAAGAAGAAGGAAAAGGGAACAUAAUCCUUCUAAUAGUCAAAAGAAAUGGCGUAGCAUAUUAAUUUUUAAAAGUUUUCUUUGAAUUGGGUUUUUUAACUUUUGAUUCAAGUUAUAUUGCAUCCUUUGCUUGUGAGUUGAUAUUAUGAAUCGUAAAUUGUUCCGUGAGUUGUAAGUUUGAUAAACAUUAAAAAAUUUAAUAUAUACUUAAAUAUAUAAAAUAUCUAUACAUGCAAGAUACAAUAAAUUAUAUAUAUAUAUAUAUAUAAUUAUAUAUAUACCACACAAUUUUACCUAAACAAUCUCUAAAAAAAAUAAUGUGUUACAUACAUGUUAUUAAACAAAUUUUGUUUAUUUUUUUUAUUUACUCAUUUUUUAAAAUCCACACUGAUUCACACAAUACGAAAUAGUUUCGUUUUGCGAUUCAUCGUGUGAAUCGCACGAUAUAUCUAAGAUUCAGGGACGAAAAAGAUUCUUCAAGAGAUUCGUAUCGUGGGAGGGUGAAACUAUAUUGUUUCAUACAAUACGUAUCGUGAAUCGUAAGAUAUUAAUUACUAUGAUUUUGACAAUGGCAGCACUUCCAAACAUAUCAACAAUAUAUGCAACAAAAUAUAGAAACUACUUAGGAUUAUGAGACCAUUUUGUUUUGACAUGUUAAUAGGCAAAAACAUAAAUAUAAAUGUCAGAAAUUUAAGGAUUAGAAGAAAAUUUUGAGGCCUAAUGGCCUUAUAUAUGGCACUCAGAUUAAAUUAUUCCUUCAAUAAAGUCAAAGAGUGAGAGCUAAAAUACAGAAAGCAUCAUAUAUCUAUAAUAUGACUCAUUCUUAUUAGACACCAAAAUAGUUUAGGAAAGGAAAUAUGAUUCUACUAGAUCAAGAACAUUGCAAAGAAAAUAUCAUAUGAAAUUUAAAUGUUCUCUUCUCUCCCAAUUGAUUUAUCUUUACUUGCUGAUAGGUUCCUUCACGAUAGUCACAGGGCAAGAAGCAUGGGCCAUCACAAAGUUGCUUACACUUCCCAAAAUGAUCCUGUUUUUUCAAUACAAAAUAGACAUGUCAAUUAGACUCAUAUUUCAAUAACAUGGGAAAUAUAUGAGAUUAAUAUAAUUUUAUAUAAAAUUAUCAUACUAAGAAGAUUUUGAAAAAAAAAAAUUACUUGUAUAAAUAAGUCAUACGAUUUUAAUAAAAAAAAAGUUGUACUCUAGUAUACCAUUUAGUUUCUGUACAACUUUUUUUACAAGUUUUAAAGAAAAUUUUCUUUUUCUACAGAAGUCUUUCUGACUAUUUUAUUUGAUAUAUAUUACACAAAUCGCUCUAGAGUAAUGAUUUCUGAUUAAAUCUUUCUACUUAUUACUCCAAAGAAGUCAUGUUUUCUCCUAACAGUUCCAUAUUCUUAACUGGUGUUAUUUUUAUACUGUGUUUUCAAAAUAUACUGAUAUAUUAAAAAAAAUUAUAUACCAAAAUCAGUAUAUUUUGAAGACAUACUAAAGGGUCAACACCAAAACUCAAGAUUAGAGAAUCUUGAUUAUGAUGAUUCAUAACUUAUAACAUAACAAGUGGUGAAAUUGUUGGUAAAAACAAAUCCAAGGGAAUAGUGCAAUAUUGAAAGCUAAUAUAAAGGGCACUUGUAUUUAAUUUUGUUGUUGUUAUGAAGUCUCAAAGUCCUUGCUGAGUCCAAUUGUAUUAUUUACUAAGACUUUAUCUCUCUUUCUCUCUUCUCUCCUUCCCUCCCUAAGUCUGCAUCUCUUUAUCUCCCUCAACCCAUUGAAAUUUAAGGCAAGAGAGGUGGAAUCUCUCCAUGAUUCAAAUCCAAAUAGGAGCUUCUCCUCCCACAAGCCACUAGUUCUCAACUCUUUCCCUAAAGACAACAACAACAACAACCUCAACAACUGAAGAGGCCAACACAAGUGGAAACAUCCCAACAUGGAUGCCGCAAUUACCAGAAACAGAUUUCUUCAUCUCCUCCAAACAACACCACCACCUCCACCAUCUCCUCCCAACAACAACACCACCUCCACCAUCUCCUCCCAAGUCAACCUUACCUCCGAUGAUAAGAGGGCCCACAUCGAUGAGAAUCACUUCUUUGGAAUUGAAAAGAAAAAUUAAACAGGUAACUAAAACAUUAGACAAAGACUUCAGUUCAAACAAAUUAAGCAAAGACUACUUACAGGUAAAUUUUCUCAAAAUUUAUCCAUUUCCUUAAUUUUUGUGUACAAUCGCAGCCAUUUAGUUUUUUCUUUGCCAAAAUCUAUCUAUUGUCUUAAUUUUUGUAUAAAAUUGCAACCCUUUAGUAAAUGUCCCAAUAAAUGCAGAUGAUAAAAAUCCAUGGCAUUAAUGGCAACAGAAAAGUCACACUACAACAAAAGAUAAAUGAAAAACAAAUAUCUAUCAAUGCAAAUACAUCUCUUUGAAACAAUCGGUGGGAGAUGCUGAAAAAUAGAAUUCGGGGACAAAAGUGGGCA